GAUGAACGCUGGCGGCGUGCCUAAUACAUGCAAGUCGAGCGAACGGACGAGAAGCUUGCUUCUCUGAUGUUAGCGGCGGACGGGUGAGUAACACGUGGAUAACCUACCUAUAAGACUGGGAUAACUUCGGGAAACCGGAGCUAAUACCGGAUAAUAUUUUGAACCGCAUGGUUCAAAAGUGAAAGACGGUCUUGCUGUCACUUAUAGAUGGAUCCGCGCUGCAUUAGCUAGUUGGUAAGGUAACGGCUUACCAAGGCAACGAUGCAUAGCCGACCUGAGAGGGUGAUCGGCCACACGGGAACUGGAACACGGUCCAGACUCCUACGGGAGGCAGCAGUAGGGAAUCUUCCGCAAUGGGCGAAAGCCUGACGGAGCAACGCCGCGUGAGUGAUGAAGGUCUUCGGAUCGUAAUACUCUGUUAUUAGGGAUGAACAUAUGUGUAAGUAACUGUGCACAUCUUGACGGUACCUAAUCAGAAAGCCACGGCUAACUACGUG
This 497-nucleotide ribosomal RNA is filed under the name uncultured bacterium. Its description in RNAcentral is "partial 16S ribosomal RNA". It matches the Rfam family "Bacterial small subunit ribosomal RNA", at positions 28 to 507 of the family's 1533-position model. The record is from RNAcentral.